UGUGAUCCUUUGUAUGACACCCCACCUUUGUUUGAUAAUUAUGAGGAUGAAUUGCUUGCUACUUGUAAUGACUUAAGCAAUAAUUCCUUUGAUUUUUAUGGUGGUAUAUGUUUACUUGAGGGAUCUUCCAUAAGAGGAGAAAGUGUCUAUUGCUUGGAAAUUUCUUCUUCUUCUUCUACUAUGUGUGACCUUAUUGUUGAGAGUACUUAUGGCGAUGAUGUUGAAACUAG
RNAcentral lists this long non-coding RNA (230 nucleotides) under Capsicum annuum. RNAcentral's name for it is "long non-coding RNA (CANN_LNC020185)". Lineage: Eukaryota; Viridiplantae; Streptophyta; Magnoliopsida; Solanales; Solanaceae. The record is from RNAcentral.